GGAGGCGGAUACGGAGGCGGAUCCGGCGGAGGGUAUGGUGGUGGUUAUGGCGGUGGGUAUGGUGGCGGAUACGGAGGCGGAUAUGGCGGAGGGUAUGGUGGAGGCUACGGACGCCACUACUGGAAGAAAUACUAAAGGACUAGUUGAUUUAUGCAGCAAAUAUGCUGCCCAACGACUGACCAACGGAUACGAGACCUGAUCGUCACCUGACACUUUUUGUUGUUUAGCUGAAAAUAAUAAACAUAUUUUAGCAUCAAA
Long non-coding RNA from Mercenaria mercenaria, 258 nucleotides. RefSeq lists it as uncharacterized. The transcript is spliced from 2 exons. The record is from RefSeq and is a predicted model, not a curated record. NCBI's taxonomy places the organism in Eukaryota, Metazoa, Mollusca, Bivalvia, Venerida, Veneridae.